Portunus trituberculatus (swimming crab) is the source of this 550-nucleotide long non-coding RNA. RefSeq lists it as uncharacterized. NCBI's taxonomy places the organism in Eukaryota, Metazoa, Arthropoda, Malacostraca, Decapoda, Portunidae. The transcript has 2 exons. The record is from RefSeq and is a predicted model, not a curated record.
GUUUUCUUCGCGGGGAAAAGCAGACGACGGGAACCGCACAAUAAUGUUGAAUUUCAUUUUCGGCUUAUUCCACGAUUCUAUAUUCCUUUACUGUUUAGAUAUUAUAGUCUGUAUUUUUCUUUUAAUUUCAAUGAGACCAAUGUUAAAAUAUAGCCGAUUAUUUACCAAUUAAGUGGUAGAGUCCCAAUGUUAAUUUAAACAAACGCAGCGGGUCGAUGCUCGAUGGUAGGAUUGACUGUCGCUGGACUCGCUAACGUUGAGUGGCAAGAGGGGAAGGGAAGCCCCGGUAACCACACUUGGACGUUUGCCUGGCAGUGUUAUAUACUCUCUACAUGUGUGUGAAGGGCUAUUGUCCCAAAAAUGCAACUGAUUGACAUGUUAAUGGAACGUGGAUUUUCUAUGGUAAAUUUUCUGAAUCUCGCCCGUCACACACGACAGACUAAACUCGAUUACUGCAGGUGGUAUCACUGUUGCCAACACAGGUGAUCCUCCAUCGGGGGCACUUUCCAUUAUAAACUACAAGUAUUUCAAAUAAAGAUUAAAUCAAUAA